This 338-nucleotide ribosomal RNA is filed under the name Lepomis gibbosus (pumpkinseed sunfish). RNAcentral's name for it is "partial 16S ribosomal RNA". It matches the Rfam family "Bacterial large subunit ribosomal RNA", at positions 679 to 1081 of the family's 2925-position model. Lineage: Eukaryota; Metazoa; Chordata; Actinopteri; Centrarchiformes; Centrarchidae. The record is from RNAcentral.
UAGUAAUAAUCAGGCAAAGGGAACUUUAGUCGGAUGCCCCGAAACUAAGUGAGCUACUCCAAGACAGCCUAUUAAUAGGGCACACCCGUCUCUGUGGCAAAAGAGUGGGAAGAGCUUCGAGUAGAGGUGAUAGACCUACCAAACUUAGUUAUAGCUGGUUGUCUGGGAAUUGGAUAGGAGUUCAGCCUCCCGGCUUCUUAUUUCAUCUCCGUCUUUGCACCUGCAGAUCUUAAAGAAACCGCGAGAGUUAGCCAAAGGGGGUACAGCCCCUUUGAAACAAGACACAACUUUUCCAGGAGGGUAAAGAUCAUAAUAACAAAAGUAAAAUGUUUUGGUGG